CUUCCUGCACAUAUUGGAAGUCGUGCCUGCCCACUGAAAUUUUAAGGGCCGCGGUAUUUUGACCGUGCAAAGGUAGCAUAAUCAUUAGUCUUUUAAUUGGGGGCUGGAAUGAAAGGUUUGACGAAGCAAUUACUGUCUCAGUAUUAUUAAUUGAAUUUUACUUUUAAGUUAAAAGGCUUAAAUGAUAAUAGGGGACGAGAAGACCCUAUAGAUCUUUAUAAAAAGUGUUGUAUUUUCCUUUUUUGGUGUAAUAUGGUGAAUAUAAUAUUUUUUAUUUCGUUGGGGUGAUGAGAGAAUAUAAUAACUUCUUUAUAUUAUACUUUGAUAGAUGAAUGAAGGAUCCUGUAUUAUGGAAUUAAGAUUAAGAUACCUUAGGGAUAACAGCGUAAUUUUGUUGGAGAGUUCUUAUCGAUAAUGAAGAUUGCGACCUCGAUGUUGGAUUAAGAAUACACCUAGGUGCAGUAGUUUAGGUUGUUGGUCUGUUC
Molecule: ribosomal RNA, 485 nt
Filed under: Zebragryllus nouragui
Lineage: Eukaryota; Metazoa; Arthropoda; Insecta; Orthoptera; Gryllidae
Description: partial 16S ribosomal RNA
Rfam family: Bacterial large subunit ribosomal RNA
Source: RNAcentral